CAGUCCAUAGUCUUGGAACUCUAUAGUGCCAGUCUGAGGCCAGGCCAGAGGCAGGGAACUGCCCUCCACGGUCCACACAGCCUGGAGCAGUCAAAAAUCAGCUCUUCUUCUAGACUCACCCUCCCAGUGCGUGCCUUGUCAACCUCCAUCAGCUUUCCCAGGUCCUCAGGAACCUGCUCCUCGUCUAUCUCAGACAUGGGCUCCAUACCCUGCAGGUUCCACAGGUCUCCAGCUUCCAGAGGGGUACGAUAACCUUUAACCACCAGCCUGAGGGGAACAGCGAUGAUUAAGAACACCUUCCUAAUACUGACUUGCACCUGGUCAGUCUAUGUCUUGGAAAGAGCAGGUGUUCUUCAGGUUUUGUACACUCAGUGUAUAAGUUAUACACAAACACCCACGUACAUUAUAAGAUUUACAGUAUAAAAGAUUUUUCAAACAGGUCAA
Molecule: long non-coding RNA, 444 nt
Organism: Oncorhynchus nerka (sockeye salmon)
Lineage: Eukaryota; Metazoa; Chordata; Actinopteri; Salmoniformes; Salmonidae
Exons: 3
Source: RefSeq, a predicted model, not a curated record